This 538-nucleotide unclassified non-coding RNA is filed under the name Microsporidium aurata. RNAcentral describes it as "partial contains 16S ribosomal RNA, 16S-23S ribosomal RNA intergenic spacer, and 23S ribosomal RNA". The record is from RNAcentral. Lineage: Eukaryota; Fungi; Microsporidia.
AGCGGACGCAGCACGCGCACACCGUUGUAGGCAGCAGGAGCUUUCAGAGUGAAAUGCGAUUGCCGGAUGGUGUGCGCUGUAUGGUGCACAAGUAGGAGGAUUUCCUAGUACACGCCCAAGCACCAAGGACAGCGUAUGUGACGGAAGAACACCACAAGGAACCCGGACGUUAACGAAGAUGGCGCCAGCUGCGAACAACGCACCCGCGUGAGUGCAGGACGAGUGUGGUACACGAUAGCGUAACAAGGCAGCUGUAGGCGUUAACGACAAGUGGGGUGAUGAUAAAAGAUAGCAUGAAAAGUAGUGAGACCCCUGCACGAUACAUAAAUACAACACCACACACUAGGGAUCGUAUGGCUCCCGCGACGUGCCCUUAGAUGGUCUGGGCCGAAAGGCCCCGGACCAAGCGCACCGACGGGGCGUCGCCGAUCGAAAGGUGAUCGAGAGGGACAUACCUCGGAAUUAAGCAUAUGAAUAAGGAAUUGCUAAGAAACCAACAGGGAUUCCGCAAUAGAGGCGACUGAUCAGUUCUUUGUAC